GCCCCCGUGGUAUUCUCCAGGGCUGCUGGUCCUCCACCCGGCCUCGGGACAAAGGAGACCAUUCCCUGAGUUCCUGUGGUCUCCACUCUGUCUCAGCAAAACUUCAUGCUCUAGGGUACGUGGGAGCAGAGACACCUCACGGGCUGCCGGGAGCCCCAGGACGUGGAGGAGCAGGCCGACCGCAAGGGAGGCUCAGUGUCUCUCCACGUGCUGUCAGUGUCACACUGUCACACGAUGACACCCAUAGAAGUGUCCGGGGAACUGUAGUUUUUGGAGGUGUUUCCUCUGCUCGCUCACAGCUAGGGCUGUUCUGCGUACAAGUCUCCAAUAAUGAAAGGAAACUUCAUGGAUCUAAAUCCAGGAAUUGAGGUGAUUCAAAAGCAGUUUCUGUGAAUGGUCCCCAAAUAGCUCUGAGUUCACCUAGGGACUCCCACAAUGACAGCCACUGUUUGCUCAGUCCGGGGAAAG
This is a long non-coding RNA of Perognathus longimembris pacificus (Pacific pocket mouse), 468 nucleotides long. RefSeq lists it as uncharacterized. The transcript is spliced from 3 exons. Lineage: Eukaryota; Metazoa; Chordata; Mammalia; Rodentia; Heteromyidae. The record is from RefSeq and is a predicted model, not a curated record.